GACGAACGCUGGCGGCGCGCCUAAUACAUGCAAGUCGAGCGGGGAGGCGGGCGGAAGCCUUUGGGUGGACGUCCGUCUCUUAGCGGCGGACGGGUGAGGAACACGUAGGCAACCUGUCCUAAAGACCUGGAUAACACCGGGAAACCGGUGCUAAUACCGGAUAGAUUGUCCUGGCGCAUGCUGGGGCAAGGAAAGGGGCGACCCGCUAUAGGAGGGGCCUGCGGCGCAUUAGCUGGUUGGUGGGGUAACGGCCUACCAAGGCGAUGAUGCGUAGCCGGCCUGAGAGGGUGACCGGCCACACUGGGACUGAGACACGGCCCAGACUCCUACGGGAGGCAGCAGUAGGGAAUCUUCCGCAAUGGGCGGAAGCCUGACGGAGCGACGCCGCGUGGGGGAGGAAGGCCUUCGGGUUGUAAACCCCUGUUGUCGGGGAAGAAGGGCUGCGUGAGCGGCAUUGACGGUACCCGACGAGGAAGCCCCGGCUAACUACGUGCCAGCAGCCGCAGUAA
Molecule: ribosomal RNA, 509 nt
Filed under: uncultured bacterium
Lineage: Bacteria
Description: partial 16S ribosomal RNA
Rfam family: Bacterial small subunit ribosomal RNA
Source: RNAcentral